AGCACGGCAAGGAAAGGGGAGUGGCAGCAAAGAAGAAAUGGAGAAAGGAAGAGAAAAAUGAGGCUGGGUGACAGGGGAGAGCCAGCCCUGCCUACCACACAGCUGCAGUGGACAUCCCGGUUCCCUGAUGGAUGAAGAAGGCCAACCGAUCCAGCCUCAAGACCAGAGCUGCUGGGCCACCCUUCCCGAUGUGUGCCUACAUCGUAUUUUCUGGUGGCUGGGAGACAAAGACAGGUCCAGAGCGGCCCUUGUCUGCAGAAAGUGGAACCAGAUGAUGUAUUCGGCUGACCUCUGGCGAUACAGGACCAUCACGUUUACUGGGAGACCUUCCAGGGUACACGCGUCCGAAUUUGUGUCGGCUCUUUGGUAUGUUAAGAAAUUUGGUCGUUAUCUGGAGCACCUGGAGAUCAAAUUCCUGCAUCCUUACAACGCUGUCCUGACCAAGAAGUUCCAGGUCACCAUGCAAGGCCUUCUCUCGUGUCUGGGCAAGAGAAACAACCGUCUGAAAUCUCUGUCCGUCCAGCACCUGGAACUGGACCGCCUGGUCUGGAGGAACAGCAUCAGGAGCUUGCUCAUGAAAAGCUUGAGCUCAUUCUUGAAGAAAAUGGGCAAACACCUGGAUUAUCUCAGCCUAAAAGGGGCUAGGCUCACCGUGGGGCAAGGCUGCCACAUCCUCAACUCCCUGAGCUACUUAAGGAAAGAGAGUGUGGUGUCAGAGCUCAACCUCGAGGACUACUUCAGCCACCACCUCGCUGUCUACAGCAGCCCCCAGUUCAACAAGACCAUGGCCACGUUCCGCAACCUGGUGUCCCUGAGCCUCAACUACAACUGCAUCUCCGACGAGCUGCUGGAGAACUUGUGUGAGAACAAUGCCGGCACCCUCUGGACCAUGAACAUCAAGUGCCACAGUCAUGACCCCCACGGGCAGGUCAUCUGGGGCAUGUCCUGGGCCAAGCUGGCCAGGUGCGCCACCAACCUGAGAGUCAACUUCUUCUUUGAGCAAGUCAUGAAGUAUGAGCGCUUGGCCCGGAUCCUCCUGCAGGAGAUCCCCAUCAGGAGCAUCAGUCUGAGAAACUGCUCUUUCAGCGACCCCGACUGGUCCAUGAGGCCCACCCUGACGGAUCUCCUGCCCACCUUCCGGCACACUCUGCAGAAACUAACUUUUGAGUUCAACAACAAACAUGAGUCUCUGGACGAGGAGCUGCACCGCCUCAUCUUAUCCUGCAGGAAGUUGUUUUACUUCAAAAUCUGGGCUUUCCUUGAUGUUAAGUUUGUGGAGCAGAUCCUGCAGAGUCAGGAAGAAGGGCGGUGUGCCCUGCGCACACUCAAGUGGUCUUACUGCCGAGGGAGAGGAGCCAAGGGAGAUGGUUUGCUUCUCGUACUGUCUGCCCAGAACCCACCGUGAGCCCCAUCUCUGCCCUUGACAGAGUUCCUACUGCAGCCGCAGAUGGAGACCUGCCCAGCCCCCAAGCAGCCCCACCCAGAUGUUGUCACAGUGGAUCAGGAGAUAACCCGGCUGAGGUCUUAUAACAGGUGCAAGAAAUUCCAGGCAAAGAUCCCACAGUAGGACCUGGGCCCUGCGAGUGAGAGCCCCGAGGGAACGCAUAACCCACGUCCGCGGUCUCCGAGGUAAAGUCCACUUGGGGAUCGAGGCCUUCUUCAGGUGGCCCGCAGCCCCUCCCCCAGGCCACACGCCGCUCCUCCAGGGUCAAGGGGGGCUCGGCCUCCGCACUCCCUGUGCAGCUCCGCACCGCGGAAGAGGAGAGGCGGAGUGAGCUCUUCUCCUCCGGCGCCACCGGGGAAACCCCCCUCCCCCACUUCACUGC
RNA transcript from Eubalaena glacialis (North Atlantic right whale), 1826 nucleotides. It is a transcript of the gene named F-box protein 39, with no coding region annotated. The transcript is spliced from 6 exons. Lineage: Eukaryota; Metazoa; Chordata; Mammalia; Artiodactyla; Balaenidae. The record is from RefSeq and is a predicted model, not a curated record.